UACGGAGGGGGCAAGCGUCGUUCGGAUUUACUGGGCGUAAAGGGUGUGUAGGCGGCUGCGUAAGUCUGGUGUGAAAUCUUCACCGCUUAACGGGAAGAGGUCACUGGAAACUGCGUAGCUCGAGUGUGGUAGAGGCAAGCGGAAUUCCUGGUGUAGCGGUGGAAUGUUAAAAUAUCAGGAAGAACACCUGUGGCGAAAGCGGCUUGCUGGGCCAUCACUGACGCUGAGACACGAAAGCGUGGGGAGCGAACGGG
This 254-nucleotide ribosomal RNA is filed under the name uncultured bacterium. RNAcentral's name for it is "partial 16S ribosomal RNA". It matches the Rfam family "Bacterial small subunit ribosomal RNA", at positions 524 to 776 of the family's 1533-position model. The record is from RNAcentral.